RNAcentral lists this ribosomal RNA (433 nucleotides) under uncultured bacterium. RNAcentral describes it as "partial 16S ribosomal RNA". It matches the Rfam family "Bacterial small subunit ribosomal RNA", at positions 29 to 507 of the family's 1533-position model. The record is from RNAcentral.
AACGAACGCUGGCGGCAUGCCUAACACAUGCAAGUCGAACGAGACCUUCGGGUCUAGUGGCGCACGGGUGCGUCACGCGUGGGAACCUUCCCUUAGGUUCGGAAUAACUCCCCGAAAGGGGUGCUAAUACCGGAUAAUGUCUUCGGACCAAAGAUUUAUCGCCUUUGGAUGGUCCCGCGUUGGAUUAGCUAGUUGUUAGGGUAAAAGCCUACCAAGGCGAGGAUCCAUAGCUGGUUUGAGAGGAUGAUCAGCCACACUGGGACUGAGACCCGGCCCAGAAUCCUACGGGAGGGAGCAAUGGGGAAUAUUGGACAAUGGGCGAAAGCCUGAACCAGCAAUGACGCGUGAGUGAUGAAGGCCUUAGGGUUGUAAAGCUCUUUUAACCGGGAUGAUAAUGACAGUACCGGGAGAAUAAGCUCCGGCUAACUCCGUG